This 562-nucleotide small RNA is filed under the name Arabidopsis thaliana (thale cress). RNAcentral's name for it is "ncRNA (AT1G22403)". Lineage: Eukaryota; Viridiplantae; Streptophyta; Magnoliopsida; Brassicales; Brassicaceae. The record is from RNAcentral.
ACGAUCCCCAUCAAGUUUUAUCACGUCUUCAUCACCGGUAGAUCAAGCGGAAUCGGUGAAAUUAGAUACGUUUCAUGAGCUUGCGGCGAAUGAGAUGAUGCGUUGUGCAGAGCACGGUGGAGAACGGUGCGGAGGCAGUGAGCAAGCCGGAAAAUAAAAAAUGGGGGCAGAAGGUUGGAUACGUGCGAGAUACUUCGGAGAACUUGCGACAACAAAUGGUGUGAUGGAUGUAUGGGUUCUUUCCUCUCCUUAGCUGCGUAUGAUGGCUGCAGCAAUACCAGCAACAACCCCUGAGAAAGAUUUCAAUUCCUUACAAAGUUAUGUAUGCAUGUCACAAUUCAGGCCAAACACAAAAAAUUCUGUACAAGGACAAGCAACGCAAGAGAAUCCAAAAUCCGAUGAAGGAGAUAUUAAAACAAUUGGAAAUUUGUGAUUCGAGGUUCCUGUGCGUGUCAAAUUAGCUAUGUUCUUGUAAUUGUCAUUUUUUGUUUUUUUUUAAGAAACCCACUUAAGAUUCUACCAUUGGGAAAUAAGAUUGAAUAAAAACUCUAAACUUCCAUUU